UGAGUACGAGCUGCUACGGCAGCGAAGUGGGUGAUGUCAUGCUUCCAAGAAAAGCCCUAUACCCGUUAAGGCAUGAUGGCCUGUACCCGAAACCGACACAGGUGGGGUGGUAGAGAAUACCGAGGGGCGCGAGGUAACUCUCUCUAAGGAACUCGGCAAAAUGGCCCCGUAACUUCGGGAGAAGGGGUGCCACCGCAAGGUGGUCGCAGUGAAGAGGCCCAGGCGACUGUUUACCAAAAACACAGGUCUCCGCUAAGUCGCAAGACGAUGUAUGGGGGCUGACGCCUGCCCAGUGCCGGAAGGUUAAGGAAGCUGGUCAGCGUAAGCGAAGCUAGCGACUGAAGCCCCGGUGAACGGCGGCCGUAACUAUAACGGUCCUAAGGUAGCGAAAUUCCUUGUCGGGUAAGUUCCGACCCGCACGAAAGGCGUAACGAUCUGGGCGCUGUCUCGGAGAGAGGCUCGGCGAAAUAGAAUUGUCUGUGAAGAUGCGGACUACGUGCACCCGGACAGAAAGACCCUAUGAAGCUUUACUGUAGCUUGGUAUUGUGCUCGGGCUCGGAAUGCGCAGGAUAGGUGGGAGGCUAUGAACCAUUGCUUGCGGGUGAUGGUGAGCCACUGGUGAGAUACCACUCUUUCCGAGCUAGAGUUCUAACAGCCACCCGUUAUCCGGGGGCUGGACAGUAUCAGGUGGGCAGUUUGACUGGGGCGGUCGCCUCCUAAAAGGUAACGGAGGCGCGCAAAGGUUUGCUCAGGCUGGUUGGAAAUCAGCCGACGAGUGUAAAAGCAGAAGCAAGCUUGACUGUGAGACCUACAAGUCGAACAGGGAGGAAACUCGGCUUUAGUGAUCCGACGGUUCUGCGUGGAAGGGCCGUCGCUCAACGGAUAAAAGUUACUCUAGGAUAACAGGCUGAUCUCCCCCAAGAGUUCACAUCGACGGGGAGGUUUGGCACCUCGAUGUCGGCUCAUCGCAACCUGGGGCUGAAGUCGGUCCCAAGGGUUGGGCUGUUCGCCCAUUAAAGCGGUACGCGAGCUGGGUUCAGAACGUCGUGAGACAGUUCGGUCCAUAUCCGGUGCAUGCGCAGGAAUAUUGAGAGGAUUUCUCCCUAGUACGAGAGGACCGGGAGGAACGCACCUCUGGUGUACCAGUUAUCGUGCCAACGGUAAACGCUGGGUAGCCAUGUGCGGAGAGGAUAACCGCUGAAAGCAUCUAAGUGGGAAGCCCACCUCAAGAUGAGUAUUCCCAUGGGGUAACCCAGUAAGGUCACGGGAAGAACACCCGUUGAUAGGCUCUACGUGGAAGCGCAGUAAUGUGUGAAGCGGAGGAGUACUAAUAGACCGAGGGCUUGACC
Molecule: ribosomal RNA, 1349 nt
Filed under: metagenome
Description: bacterial LSU rRNA
Rfam family: Bacterial large subunit ribosomal RNA
Source: RNAcentral